GACGUAGGGCGCGAGCGUUGUCCGGAUUUAUUGGGUUUAAAGGGUGCGUAGGCGGUCUUAUAAGUCAGUGCUGAAGUAUCCCGGCUUAACCGGGAGGGUGGCAUUGAUACUGUAGGACUUGAGUAAAGUUGAGGUUGGCGGAAUUGACGGUGUAGCGGUGAAAUGCUUAGAUAUCGUCAAGAACACCUAUUGCGAAGGCAGCUAACUAAGCUUUAACUGACGCUGAGGCACGAAAGUGUGGGGAUCAAACAGG
RNAcentral lists this ribosomal RNA (253 nucleotides) under uncultured bacterium. RNAcentral describes it as "partial 16S ribosomal RNA". It matches the Rfam family "Bacterial small subunit ribosomal RNA", at positions 524 to 776 of the family's 1533-position model. The record is from RNAcentral.